Molecule: long non-coding RNA, 29765 nt
Filed under: Citrus maxima (pomelo)
Lineage: Eukaryota; Viridiplantae; Streptophyta; Magnoliopsida; Sapindales; Rutaceae
Description: long non-coding RNA (CMAX_LNC002006)
Source: RNAcentral
UUGAGGUUUUGAACAAAAACAAGCCACGUUAAGUCCUUCCCUCUGCAAGACCUUAGGACAACUGUGUUAAGACUGCGGAAACCAUUUCGAAAAAGUUUCUUUACCUCUUCUGGGCAGUCAAUCUUCAUCUCUUCCAAAUUACAGUAUUCAAGAUCUAACUCCUGAAGAUUCUCCAUGUAUGCUAGAUGUAAGACAUUGAACGGUGCACUUUCACAUUGGUAAACCCAUACAGAUUGCGUGAUGCUCACCAGCUUUGGAUAUUUCAAAAACUUUUGGACAGCAAGUGAACUUCGGAAGGUCCAGCUUAAAACAUUUAAACGCUUCAAACCCAGCAAUUCCUUCAUCAAAGGUUCAGCAUCAGCACAUAGAACGUUAGCUUCUUCUUCUUCUGUUACACUGCAACAACCGCACCCACGCAACCUGAGUACCUCCAAAUUUGAAAAGCCAGAUAUCAAUUGAUGUGGAAUUAUAGACAAAUUAAAUGCAUACUCCAAGUUCAAAUAUCUCAACUUCUCCAACGCCUUCAGCUCUUGCGGCAACCCAGUUAUGUCAGCCGAUGAUAGAUCAAGAUGAUGUAAUGAAACCAAACUUGAAAUCCCUGAAGGUAGUGUACUUAGGUGAAAAUUUUCACUGAGACUUAAUACUCUAAGAGACGACAUAGAUUGAAAGAAGCCGUCAGUGAUCUCCACAAUCGGAUUUUCAUCCACAAGUAAAGUUACGAGACGCGGACACGUGGGAAUUUCCGAUAGGCUUUCAAUUCCAUUUCCCAUCAGAGAUACCCGUUUGGCACCUUCCCAUUCUUCAAUCUUUGGUGCUUCGGUCAAUUUAACUCCAGCGCGAACCAGAAAGUUCUGCUCCUCCUUGUCUACCGUGCACGCUAUCCAUAAUGACAUCUCACGAAUCAUAUCGUGCAUCUUUACAUGAUCAUCGCCUUCUUCCUCCAAUAAGCAUGCUUGAAGAAGGUCAUCAAUAAAAUCGCAUCCAUCAUCAAAAUCAUAUACAAAUCCUUCACUAAUCCAGUAAUCAAUCAAUUCCCUUCUAGGAAUUUCGUAGUCUUCAGGAUAUAAACAACAAUACAGGAGACAGGAACGAAGUUCGUCCGUAGACAAACUAUCAUAGCUGAACUUUAAACGCGAAAACACCUCUUCUUUCAUACCUGAGAAUUUAGAAGCUGAUGUUGUCAUUUUGUGAAUUGCACGUUUCCAAUCUCCAACUUUCCUUUGGCUUUUCAUGGCUCGACCCACUGUUUUAAGCGCUAGCGGCAACCCACCACACUCUCUUGCCAGGGUUUCGGCUAGCUCUGGAAUACUGGUAUGACUGUCAAGAGUGGAUCUGUCGACCAUCUCCUGAAAUAAUUCCCAGGCUUUAUCAUGCGCCAAACUAUACACUUCCAACUUUUUAGCGUCCAUUUGAUCGCAAACACCAGCUGAACGAGUUGUCAAGACUAUUUUGGACCCAUCAUUUAGAUUUUGAAGAGGGACACCCAAUUGUGUUAAAUCAAUGCGCUCCCAUAUAUCAUCCAAUAACAACACAAACUUCUUUCCGCUUAAAAUUCUAGCGAUGUCCGCAGCCUUGUCUCGAAGACUUUUUUUCUCCCAGCUUGGGUCUUCUGAAAAGCCAAUCCUUUUUCCAAUGUCAUCUUGAAGUGUUGACGCAGCCGCCCAGAUAACAACAUCAAAAUUAUGCUGUUGAUGGCAGAAGUUGUUGUUGACUUGUUUUAAAAGGGUAGUUUUGCCGACUCCCCCUAUACCAUACAAGCCGAUAAUUCCCCUGUUAUUUUCCUCAUCAGUGAUACAUCGCCAAACUCGAUCCACUAGUAAUUCUUGACCAACAAUUGUUUGCGCAAGAGGUAAUUCAAUUGCUGCACCAUCUGGCGCCUUCUCAACAACGACUUCAAUUUUUUCUCCGUCCUUCCUUAAAUUGAUCACUCGAUCCGUCAACAUGACCACUUUUCUGCCGAAAUCGUAGCUUGAAGCCAAGUUUUUGGAACAGAGGCCUCCAAGGCACAAUCUAUCCAUUUCUUGAGCUUUAACUUGUUGCAGCUUCGUAAAUUCAUUUUCCAGUUUUUGCACAUCUUCAAGCCACCCUGCGACCUGGUUCGUUCGUCUGGUUCGAGGUCGUUGUUCUUCGACCUCAACCCUGGUCUUCAGAUCGUCCCUUGUUCGAGUCAAUUUGUGCAAUUCAGUCUCCAAGCCCUCAAGAUUUUUUUCGAGACCCCAUAUAUAUUUUGCUUGUUGACCAACGCAGUUUAAAGUUCGAUUAAAAAAGUCUGGUUGUAAGAAAGUUGAGAUUAAGUUACCCAUUGUCGUUCACGAAAAGAGGAAGAGAAGCGAUGGGUACAAUGAAAAGAAUUAUGCUGCUUUGGAGAGGGUUAUAUUUAGAGAAGCACAAUACCGAAAUAAAAAUAUGAUACAUUUGUUGCUUUAUAAUUCAUAUGUCAAAUAUCAAGAAUAUAAUGAUACGCUUACACGUCAUAUAAAAUUUGCAAUUCAACCCAGUAAUCACAUAGUUAAUAUUAAAUCUUAUCAUUUGUUAUCUAAGUGAUAAAUUUAUAUUGAUAAUAUAUUUUUUAGAAUAAAAAUUUUCUACCUUAACUUGGAUGAAGAUUCAAAAUAUUAAGUCAAUGAUAGAUAGAUAAAAAAUAAAAUAAAAUAAAUUUUAACAUUAAUUCCUGGAAUCUGUCACCAUUUUUUUCCCUUAGUAACAACCAUGUUCGCUUGAGAGACCACCACAACAUGAAUAAUUUCUUCUUGGUCGACCAAAUUGGCCUUAAGAGGCUUGUGAUCUCCCUUUCUAUACUUGCAUUUGAUAGCAAAAUGUCCACAAACAUAACAAUUGCCUUUUUAAGGAAUCAAACAAGACUUAAUUAGGCGAUAAACCAGUCUAUUGGCUAGAGCCACUCAAAGUUUGAAUGAAGGUAAUUUUUCUAUCAAGAGAAGAAUUGUAAUCCUUAGAAUAUUUGAGAUGAUUUUGAGUGGUGCCAUAUCAAAAUUGAUAUAUACUAAUUUUGAUAUAUAAUUAUAUGAUUAUAAAUAUAAUGAAUAAUAAUCUAAAAAAAAAUAGGCGAUAAAGUUUAUUACAUCCACGAACAUAAAGGUCACGUUCAAGUAAAUGUGACCGUUGGACGUUGACAGCCCCUAAAAAAGAACCAAAAAAAAUCUAAUUUGAUAAAACGACGUCAGGAUUCGAAAUGGUCACGGGUUAAAAAAUUUAUUGGAAGCAUAAUAUUAACGUGCGCUUGCUUCUUCCAAAACAGCAAGAGACUGAAUGCUGAGCCUCUCUGAAAAAGAAGCUGCGUUCUGUAAGACUGAAACGUUUAGCUGAGACCUUGUGUUAAUUUUUUACAACCCUAAACCCUAAACCCUAAACCACUUGCUCUUAAUUGUCACCCGCAUUACCGUAGGAAUAGGAUUUCUCUCUAUCUCAGUUUUACUAAAUUUUUAAAAAUUUAUUUUUAUGUGUCUUUUAAUUAUAGUAUAUAAAUAAAAUUUUAUUUUUUAAUUUUUUUAAUUUAUUAACUAUCAAUCAUUUUAAAUUAUUUAAUAUGAUCAGAUCAAAAGAAAAUUUUUAUCUUUUAAUUUAACUAUGUCAAUUAAUAUUACAUAUCCUAAUUUUCUUAAAUGAUGCGGCAUUUAUUAAUUAGACACUAAGAUAGCACUAUUAAUUUAUUUAUAUAUUUUAUAAAAAACUAUCAAUCACUUACAUUACAUACUAUAUUCUGAAAAAAAAAUUUGAGUUAUCUAUUAUUAUUUAAAAAGGAGGAGUAAUUUUGGUAUGCUAAGGUUAUUUCACAAACGUAAUAAAGAAAUUUGUGAUGAUGAACACAGUGAUAGGGCAAUUAUUGAAGCAGCAAUGACUUCGUCUGUUGCGCGUGGGAAAUCUAUUAGUAAUAUAAAGGAAAAUAAAAAGUACCCUAUGUCUUUUCAACUAUUAUUAUUUUUCCAAGGCGAACUAGCCAAAUAUGUAUGAUAAAUGUCCCUAAUAUUUUUUCUGUAAAUACAAAGACAAAUUAAAUUCAACUAGAACAAAAGUCUUUCACUGGAACCCAAUAGAUAAAAGACCAAAAUGAUAUCUAGACAUACCUCAUUGUAUAGCAAUGGAAGCUUACAAGUUAAAAUAGUAUUUAUAAUCUUUUGUAACUUUCAAAUUCUGCAUUGGAUUCUGCAACUCAUCAAGAUUAGCUUUUUAGAUCUCAUAUAUAUUUUAGCAUCUCCACGAAGGAAAAAUAAAAUAAAACUGCAAGAAUUGAGUCUGGUGAUAAGAAGCACGCAUGAGAAUGAUGUUACCCAUUUUUGUUAACAAAAAUUUCAAGGAAGAAAAUAAAGUGAGAAAGAAAGAAUUAUGUUUGUGAAAAUGGAAGAGAAGGUAGGAAUUGUAUUAUAAGACUGCAAUGUUAAGUGGCUUGGUUGUGUAGGUGAGACAUUUCAUCGAACUUCUUUACAUUUCCAUCAAACACCUUGUUCUUUAACCGUCUGUGACGUCCUUUAUACCCGUCCAUAGACAUUAAAUUGGCUGAUGUCAAGUGAAUUUGAGACUACAAAUGUGCAGCUCUUGCCUUAAUCUCCUUAGAAUCCUGAAGGGUGAAAACUUAUACCUUAUAGACUUAAGGUACGUUUAGGAUUGAAGUGUUAUAACUUUUAAGCUACAGUUGCUGUAAAAAAAAAAAAUUUAAAUAAUAAUUUUGAUGAAAUUAUUAAUAAUAAUAUAAUAAAUUCUCCAUUAUACAAGUGAAAAAUUAUAUCAACAUAUCUUUCAAGACACAACAAUUAGUAUUUACUAAACACUUUACUACUGUACCUUUUAAGGUACAGGUAUCCAACUUCAAUUCUAAAUGCACUCUCAUAUGUAUACCCUUUAUAUAAGGCUGAUAGAGUAAUGUAAACUAUAUUGUCCUUUUUUUCUUGUGUUAAUUGAAAUAAUUAAAACUCAAAAUUUGUAAGUGAGGCCACUUGAUUGCAGCAAAGGAGAGCAGUGAAGGGAAGAUAAAAUUUUACCGACAUUGAACUUGUUAUUUCUCUCUCUACUAUAUUGUAGUGUUUACUUUUUAGAGUGGGAGUUUGGAGUGUGGAGUGUGGAGUGUGGAUUCCUCCCACUCUCCCACUCUAGUGUUUACUUAUCUUAAAAAAGGGGGAAGUGGGAGUGGGAAUCCGUGGGUCCCACCCAAUUUUGGAGUGGGAAGUGGGAUUCCCACUCCCAUGGGGGGAGGUGGGAGUGGGAAUCCACUCCCCCCUCUUCCCAUUUUAUCCCUAUAAUUAAAUUAAUAAAUAAUAUUUAAUAAAAUAAAUAAUAUCAUAUUUAUUAAAAAUAAUAAUGAUAUCAUAUUUAUUUUAUUAAAUUUAAUAAAAUAAAAAUAAAUAAAUAUUAUAUUUAAAUUAAUAAUAUUAAACAUUAUUAAUUUUAAUAAAUAUUAAUUAAUUAUUUAAUUAAUAAUAAUAAAUAUUUUAUUCUAAAAAAAUAUUAAUUUUGUACUAUAUUAUCAAUAAUAAUAUUUCAUUUGUGUUGUUAUUAUUAAUAAUUUUUAUUCACAUAAUUUAAAUUAAAAUUAAUAAAAAAUUAUGAUUUACAUAAUUAAGAAUAUUAGUAAUUAUUAUUAAUUUAGAAAUAUAAUAAAAUAUUUAUUUUAUUUUCCAAAUAUUUUUUAUUAAUUUUUUAAUUAUAAAUUAUAAUUCUGUACAUAAGGAUAAAAUUGUAAUUUAAAACAAUUUACUCCCAAUCCAAGACAAAGUAAACAAAUAAUUAGGAUUCUGAUUGACAAUCUAUACUUUCACACCCUACUCUACACUCCUAAUCCAAGGAUUCCCACUCCUCAGGAUUCCCACUCCAAUCCAAAAAGUAAACGCAGCAUAUAUAUAUUAGCUUGUUGUUAAUUAUAAUCUUUGCAACCAAAUAAUGUAGAAUAUGUAUACGGGUGCGAAAUUUUCCAUAGGGAAUUCAGUGUUCGAUUUAAACUGCACUUUUAUAGUUUGUUCUCCAUUUACUCCUUACUUUCAGAUCUUUGUGACAAUCACAAUUUUGUCAACCAAAAUAAAGGUCGCAUUCAAGCAAAUUAAAUGUGACCUUUGGACAUUAGCAUCAACCUCUAAAGUGAUAGCAGUAACAAACAGCUCAGCACAAAUAAUUGAGGCCCUGCACUUUCAUUAGAGGAUGGGAGAAGAGAACACUUGAUUUGAUAGCAAGACGCCAAGACCAGGACAGAGACCAAGACGAAGACCGAUGAAAAGCCCUAAACAAACCAAAAAAUAAAAAUAAAAAUGCAGUUAUGAUUAUCGUCGAAUACUUCAAACAUACGACAAGUCCAAGUUUAGCUAAGGCCUAGUGUAUAAAUUUUCUACAAGCUGUUGAAUGAGAAAAUUUGUCUAAUUCUUAAGUCUUACCUGCCAAUCACAUCAUUUUAAAUUUAGUCUGUUGAGUAGAAUUUUACUUUUAUAAUUUUUAUCUCAAAAAUCUAUUUUAAAUUAUAUAAUAUUUAUUAAUUAAAUAAUAAAAUAGCAUAAUUAAUUUAUUUAAAUCCUAUAUUAAAUUAUCAAUCACUAAAUAAAUGACACAUUACAUACUAUAUUAUUUAAAAUAAAAAUUUAAAAUAUUUACCGUUACUUAAAAAAAUUAAUUUCCUUUUCCUAAAGUUAUUUCACAGACGCAAGUACAAAAUUCUGUGAUCAUGCACAAAGUGAUAGGGCAAUUAUUGAAUAAAUAUCUCACCAAAUAUAAUUAUAGCAAAUUAAAUAAAUAUUUACUAUGACUUCAGCAUCUGAGUUCCCACUCUAUAAAUAUGCCAGCAUUUUAAAACAAACAAGACUUAAGCGACAAAUACAAUUUUGUCGACGAGUAAAAAGGUCGCAUUCAAGCCAAAGGAGAAAUUCUUUCCAGUGGGAGGAUUCUAAAACCAAGAAUCCACUGCUGAAAUUUUAUUAACUGAAAAUAGAUAACGAUUGACACACCAGACAACAACAACAAGAUGCAAUUAAAUCUAAUGAAAAUUAAAAAAAGAAAAAAGAAAUACAUAUUCAAACAUAUUAAUGAAAAUCAUCCCCAAGUACGACACCGGAAGAGAAAGCAUUUUGGGUGGCUUGGUCCUCCCAUUGUAGCUCUUCCCACCAUUUUUUCGACCCCUCGAUGACAACUCGACGUUCCUUCGCGCUGCUGGAAUUGAGUGGGAGCUUCUUCAGCUGUCGGCAUUCACGUACUUCAAUUUUCUUCAGCUUUGGAAAGGGCAGGGGAUUCGGGUAAACGCUCUUUAAAUUUCUUCCCCACUUUAUGGUUAGAGAUUCGAGUUGUGCAAAAAAGUUAUGCUCUGACCCGAUUAUCUUCGAAAUAUCUCUCAAUUUAUCAACACUAAUUAUUUCUUCCGUUUCUGUACAAAAGACUAUACGCAGCUGCUUGAGAAUUUGAACAAAAACUAGCCACGUUAAGUCUUUCAUUUUUUUGCAACUCCAUAUGACAACUCUGUCGAGACUGCGGAAACCACUUUGAAAAAGUUUCUUUACCUCUUCUGUGCUGUCAGUCUUCAUCUCUUCCAAAUUACUGUCUGAAAUGCGUAACUCCUGAAGAUUCUCCAUGUAUGCUAGAUGUAAGACAUUGAACGGUGGACUUUCACAUUGGCAAACCAUUACAGAUUGAGUGAUGCUCACCAGCUUUGGAUAUUUCAAAAACUUUUGGACAGCAAGUGAACUUCGGAAGGUCCAGCUUAAAACAUUUAAAUGCUUCAAACCCAGCAAUUCCUUCAUCAAAGGUUCAGCAUCAUCACAUAGAACGUUACCUUCUAUUACGCUCCAGCGACCGCGUGAAAGCAACCUGAGUACCUCCAACUUUGAAAAGCCAGAUAUCAAUUGAUGUGGAAUUAUAGACAAAAACCGUGUAUAGUCCAAGUUCAAAUAUCUCAACUUCUCCAACGCCUUCAGCUCUUGCGGCAACCCAGUUAUGUUAGUCGAUGAUAGAUCAAGAUGAUGUAAUGAAACCAAACCUGAAAUCCCUGAAGGUAGUGUUCUUAGGGGAAAAUUUCCUCUUAGACUUAAUACUCUAAGAGAAGACAUCGAUUGAAAGAAGCCAUCAGUAAUCUCCUCAAUCCGAUUUCCACCCAGAAGUAAAGUUACGAGGCGCGGACACGUGGGAAUUUCCAAUAAGCUCCUAAUUCCAUUUCCCAUCAGAGAUACCCGUUUGGCACCUUCCCAUUCUUCAAACUUUGGUGCUUCGGUCAAUUCAACUCCAGCGCGAACCAGAAAGUUCUGCUCCUCCUUGUCUACCGUGCACGCUAUCCAUAAUGACAUCUCACGAAUCAUAUCGUGCAUCUUUACAUGAUCAUCGCCUUCUUCCUCCAAUAAGCAUGCAUGAAGAAGGUCAUCAAUAAAAUCGCAUCCACCAUCAAAAUCAUAUACAAAUCCUUCACUAAUCCAAUAAUCAAUCAAAUCCCUUUUAGGAAUUUCGUAGUCUUCAGGAUAUAAACAACAAUACAGGAGACAGGAACGAAGUUCGUCCGUAGACAAACUAUCAUAGCUGAACUUUAAACGCGAAAACACCUCUUCUUUCAUACCUGAGAAUUUAGAAGCUGAUGUUCUCAUUUUGUGAAUUGCACGUUUCCAAUCUCCAACUUUCCUUUGGCUUUUCAUGGCUCGACCCACUGUUUUAAGCGCUAGCGGCAACCCACCACACUCUCUUGCCAAGGUUUCGGCUAGCUCUGGAAUACCGGUAUGACUGUCCAGAGUGGAUCUGUCGACCAUCUCCUGAAAUAAUUCCCAGGCUUUAUCAUGCGCCAAACUAUACACUUCCACCUUUUCAGCGUCCAUUUGAUCGCAAACACCAGCUGAACGAGUUGUCAAGACUACUUUGGACCCAUCAUUUAGUUUUUGAAGAGGGACACCCAAUUCUGUUAAAUGAAUGGGUUUCCAUAUAUCAUCCAAUAACAACACAAACUUCCUUCUGCUUAAAAUGCUAGCGAUGUCCACAGCCUUGUCUUGAGGACUUUUUUUCGCCCAGCUUUGGUCUUCUGAAAAGCCAAUCCUUUUUCCAAUGUCAUCUUGAAGUGUUGACGCAGCCGCCCAGAUAACAACAUCAAAAUUAUGCUGUUGAUGGCAGAAGUUGUUGUUGACUUGUUUUAAAAGGGUAGUUUUGCCGACUCCCCCUAUACCAUACAAGCCGAUAAUUCCCCUGUUAUUUUCCUCAUCAGUGAUACAUCUCCAAACUCGAUCAAGUAAUAAUUCUUGACCAACAACUGUGUGCUCAACAGGUAAUUCAAUUGCUGCACCAUCCGGCGCCUUCUCAACAACCACUUCAAUUUUUUCUCCGUCUUUCUUUAAAUUGAUCACUCGAUCCGUCAACUCGACCACCUGAGUCCCGUAAUUGUAGCUUGAAACGAAGUUUUUGGAACAGAGGCCUCCAAGGCACAAUCUAUCGAUUUCAUGAGCUCUAACUCGUUCCAGCUCGGUAAAUUCAGUUUCCAGUUUUUGCACAUCUUCAAGCCACCCUGCGACCUGGUUCGUUCGUCUGGUUCGAGGUCGUUGUUCUUCGACCUCAACCUUGGUCUUCAGAUCGUCCCUUGCUCGAGUCAAUUUGUGCAAUUCAGUCUCCAAGACCCGAAGGUUUUUUUCGAGACCCCAUACAUAAUUUGCUUGUUCACCAACGCAGUUUGAAGUUCGAUCAAAUAAGUCUGCUGGUAAGAAGGUUGAGAUUAGGUUACCCAUUGUCGUUGACGAAAAGAGGAAGAGAAGCAACGAGUACAAUGAAAAGAAUUAAGCUAAUUUUUACUUAAAUUCUUAAGAAUUGCUGUCAAAUGCAAACAGAGUAUGAGAAUCAGGUCUUUAUUGAUUAUGAUGACUUGAAUGAAAAUGAAAUACAGAGCUUUGCUAGUUUACAUACAGAGACAAAAAAUAAUGACAGCUAGCCUAAGGGGUAUUACACGGAAGUAAUCAAAAUUGAUCCGUGAAUAUAGCAAUUGUGAACCAAUCACAUUAAGCUUCUAGAAGAUGCAACUAUUCAAUGCACAUGCGCUGCUAUUCUUCAACAUAACAGUUUUGCCAGCUCAACAAAUCCAACUCACAGAAUCAAGGUCAACCGUUGACUCUUCACAGCUGCUGCUUUCAACAAUUUUUAGAGAACCACAACACCAAAAUAAAAAUAUGAUACAUUUGUUGCUUUAUUCAUUAUGUCAAAUAUCAAGAAUAUAAUGAUACGUUUGCACGUCAUAUAAAAUUUGUAUUUCAACCAAGUAAUCACAUAGUUAAUAUUAAAUCUUAUCAUUUGUUAUCUAAGUGAUAAAUUUAUAUUGACAAUAUAUUAUUUAGAAUAAAAAUUUUCUACCUUAGGUUUGGAUGAAGAUCCAAAAUAUUAAGUCAAUGAUAGAUAGAUAAAAAAUAAAAUAAAAUAAAUUUUAACAUUAAUUUUUUAUUUAAUAAAAAGUAAAUUCAAUACAGAAUUCUAAUCCCUUAAUCUCUCUCCAUCCACGGCAAAAGAAAGCAGCAACUCAACUCUCUUUAAAGGCUAUGGAGGUUCUCUUGCGACCUCUCUUCAGCAUACCCUCCAGAACAUUAACCCCACCACCGCCAUCACCACCCUGUUAAACACGUUUUCAAAACGUGUAUAAUGUGGCCAUCUAAUUUAUUUUUAAUUAUUAGUUUUCUAAUUUAAAUUGAUAUUUAUCUUUAUUUAGUUUACUUUUAAAACGUUGGGUUUGGUUUAAAAUUUGAAUAAAGAUAAAACAUCUCUUCCUAAUAUCUCUCAUACACGUUACGGGUGGUUUACUAAAAUCAAGGGGAUAACGGCUCAUAACUUCCUCUUUUAUUUAAACUUGUCAUCUUGAUGGGAGAUGUUUUACGGUCACGUUUUUUCAAGAAAAAUAUUGAGGGUCCCUGGUCUAACAACAGAGCCUGUGUAUACCAUCUACUCUCAGGAAUUAAGUGUUGGAUAGACUAGAAAAUUCUGAGUACAAAGCAUGGCUUGUUUUCGUUGGUUUUGUUUGCAUUCCAGUAGAAAGGUUGUGUACAAUUGAAUUUGAUAACUAUGGCAGGAGGUAAGUUUUCUAACUUGUGCAUGAUGAAUAUAGUCUUUUACACCCCACCAAUCAUCUCACUCUCAAAACUCUCCAUUUUUGCCUCCAUUAAUUCCCACUCUCUCCAAAACCCUGAUUUCUUCCUCUUCUCGUUUCCUCUCGCCCGCCCCUGGUACGCCAAUUUCCAUUCUCUCGCUCUUUUUUUUGGCAAUUUUGGCUUGAGUUUUUUGGGUUUUUGGUAAUUUAUCUUUAAUUUUUGUGGGUAUCCUUCGUUUUUUUAGUUAUCAUACAUGAGUUGAGUAGUCGUAGACGAUUUUUUAUUGUUUUAAACUGAACGGAUUCUUUGUAUUUCGAAAAUGAAAUUCAUUGUUUGUGAAGUAACUUUUAAAGCUGUUGAGUUGAGUUUGAAAACUUAAUGUGCUUAAAUUUAUCUAUGUGGAUUUGAAUCAGUUAGACAAGCAGCACAGGAGAGCCAAUCGAGCGCGGAGGUGAAUGCCGAUAGAAGAGAAUGGUUUAUGCAAGGUACAUUAAUAGUAAUUUGAUCUGAUGCCAAUUUUAUUUCUAUAUUAAUUUAUUAGAUUAUGUAAUGUUAUAAAUUCUUUGUUCAAAAUGUAGAGCUUGGAAAUUUAGUCGGUACAUUAUGGUAAUGAAUGUAGCUUGUGUAUCUGUUCAAAUUUAUGUCUAGCUUUGCUGUUUUGGUAAUGGUUUGUUUAGUAUAAAUUUUGUGUUGGUUAUGAUGUUGUUUAGUGGUUUGGAUCACUCGUGCUCUUUUGGCCCCCACUAAAAUUAAUUUUUCAUCAAAGGAUAUGAAUAGUUGUUCGAUGGAAACUUAAUGGAAGAUGUGGGAGCAUCUUUAUGAGUUAAGAUUCCCUGUAGCGAGUAUAUCCUUUGGUGCAUGAGAGUUUAAGUGAUUAUCGUCAUUGUUGAGUUAAACAAUGGGAUUAAUUUUCAUGUUCAUGUAAGGUGAUCAUCGCUAAAGUUAGAGCCAUUAGGUGAUAAAUUGAUACUUCAUUGUGUUGUUAUGUUUGUUAUACUGGAUAAAAAUCCCAGUGAUAGAAUUCAUGUUAGGCGGUUUUGGGUCCUAUUCAAUCCCAAAAGAUGAAUAAGGGGUGAGGCUUUCCCUCACAAUUGUAAAAUCACCACCAUCCUAGUUCACAACCGAUAUAAGACAACCCAACAAUCUCUCCCGCACAUAUUGGGCCUUGGUUCAAAAGCAUGGACACUCGUUUUCACUAGUAGGCUGUUGGACUGAGAUGUUGGUGAAUCUUUUAGUUGAUUUUUUUUUUUUUAUAAAAAGGAAAAGAUUAUGAAGAGAUAAAUACAAUAAAGAAAAAAAGAGAUCAAUAUUGCAAUAAAACAUUUAUGUAGUGAUAUUUUAUAUAAGAAUAAUUUCAUAUAGCUAUAAAAGUAAUGGUCCUAAUUUAUAUUAGGCCAAUUAUAAAUAAGAAUAAAUUUCAUGCUGUAAUAAUUUAUAAUUUUGCUAAAUCUCACCUUAAGGAGCUCACCUCCACGUAGUGUAAAUAUAUAUAUAGAAAAAAAAAAUAUGUUAUAUUACAUUAAGUGAACUUGGGGGUUGUUUGGUACCCCUCUUUACCUGGGAUUGCAUUGUGUUAGCAAUGCAACCCCAUGUUUGGGGUACCAAAUGGCUAUAUUAGCUAAACUCGACAUAUAGUCGGGUUUAGCUAAUGCGUCCAGUUACCGCAUUAGCUUUAGCUUCCUCUUUUUUUUUUUUUUUAUACUUUGUAAUAAUGAUAAAUGAAUAUAAUUUUUAAUUUAAUAUUAUAUAAUAUUAUUUUUACUUUAUAAUUUUAAUAUAAAUUAAUAAAUUUAUUGUUUAAUAAUAUUAUAUUAUAUUUUAAUUUUUAUCAUAGUAAAUGUACAACUAAAAAAUGUAUUAUUUAAUUAUAUUACAUUAAUUAAUAUGUAAAAUUAUAUUAAUUAAUAUAUAUAAUUGAUUAAUUUUUAAUAAGUUAAUAUAACUAAUAAUAAAUACUUAAAUAAUAUAAUAUAAUAUAAUAUUAUUUAAUUUAUUAAAAUAAUUAAACUAGUUAUUUUUAAAUAAUUUAAUAUAACUAAUAAUAAAUAUUUAAAUAUGAAUAAAUUUGAAUAAUAUUAAUUAAAAAUUAAUAAAAUAUAUAAUUAUUAGAUUGUUUAGCACAAUUCAUUUUUUAGCACAAUUCAUUAGUAUUUUCUAAAUAUAUAAUUUAAAUUAGUCACAAAAAAUUAAUACAAUAUAGUGCAAUAUCAAAUAUAAUAUAAUUAAAAAUUAAAUAUAAUACAGUAUAGUACCAAACAUUAUACAACAUUAUUAUAAUACAUUACUAAUACAACACAACAUAAUGCAAUACACCUGCAUUAAAAUAAUGCAAUACAAUAUAAUAUAAUACAGCGUGCCAAACGCACUCUUGUAUCCAUAUAGUACAAAAACAACAUAAGAGAAAAAUGUUAAAGAGAACACAAAAGUUCAGAGACUUUUAAGAUAAUGUUUUAUAUUUGUAACAAGCAUGUGCUAACUUUUUUGAAACCAUGUAUAUUUAUUUUUUCCCUAAGUUACAUGCAUGUAACUUAGCAUUAGCCUCAUUUUAUUAUUAUCUAUACAUUGGAUUUGACAUGUUUCAUUAAUAAUUUAUUACUACAUCUCUAUUAAAAUAAUUGAGGUCCUGCACUUUCAUUGGAAGAUAGGAGAAAAAAAUAAUUGAUAAGAGAAGAAAACAAUUUAAAAUAAAAUUUUAAAAUAUUUAUCAUUACUUAAAAAAAUUAAUUUUCUUUUCCUAAAGUUAUUCCACAGACGGUAGUACAAAAUUAUGUGAUCACGCACGCACACAGUGAUAGGGUAAUUAUUGAAACAAAAAUGAAAUUUGUCUGUUUUCCAUUUGAAAUCUAUUACUAAUAUAAAGGAAAAGAAAAAUCUUUAAUUACUUUUUUUUUUUUUCAUGUAGGGCAAGGCAAACAUCACUAUCUUGUUAAAUUAAUAUUUAAAAUUAUCCCACCAAAUGUAAUUAUAACAAAUUAAAUAAAUAUUUACUAUGAGUUCAGCAUCUGGGUUCCCACUCCAUAAAUAUGCCAGCAUUUUAAAACAAACAAGACUUAGAGUGUGUUUGGGAUUGAGGUGCUGUAGCUUUUAAGCUACAGCUGCUGUGAAAAAAAAACUGUAAUUAUGAAACAAAAUUUAAUAAUAUAUAGUAAAUAUAAAUUUUAAAUAAUAAUUUUGAUAAAAAUAUUAAAGAUAUAAUAAAUUUUAUAUUAUACAAGUGAAAAAUCAUAUUAACAUAGCUUAAAAGCUACAGCAGCUAGUGUUUACCAAACACUACAGCUGCCCAACCUCAAUCCCAAACGCACUCUUAAGCGACAAAUACAAUUUUGUCAAUGAGUAUAAAGGUCGCAUUAUAAGCCAAAGGAGAGCAGUUAAGGGAAGAUAAAAUAUUAUUGUAUUGAACUGGUUAUUUCUCUCUAGGGGUGGCAAAAAAGUCUGGGCUGGUCUAGGCCCGCGGGCCUAAAGCCCGGCCCGUAAGGGUGGGCCCAGAUAUUGGCCUAAAAAUUACAAAGCCCACAUAUGUGGGAUCUGGACAAGGGCUUAGCAAAAAAGCCCGGACUUGGCCCAGGCUUUUUAAAUUUAUGAAUAAAAAAUAAAUUUAAUUUAAAUAAAAAAAGAAAAAACUCAAAAUAUUAAAUUAGUUUAAUUUUUUAUAUUAGUAUUUGUUAUUUUAUUAGGUUGUAUUAUUAAUAUUUUAUGUAUUGGACUAUUAUUCUAUUUUAUAUAUUAGAUGAUUAUCUUUAAUUUAAAUUUUUUCUUAAUUUAAAAAAUAUUUUAUAAUUAAUUUAAAAAGCCCAAGCCCGGCCCAGGCCCGGCCCGAGUUCGGUCCGUCCAAAUUUAAACGGGUUUUUGAAGGGCCUGGACUUCGUUUGAAUGAUGUGGGCUUGGGCCUGGGCUUUGAAAAGCCCGGCCCAAACCCGCAAAUUGCCAUCCCUAUUUCUCUCUCUUCUAUUAUUAAUUUGUUGUUAAUUAUAACCUUUGCGGGAUUUAAAAAAAAGAAAAAGGCCCUUGCGUUUUCAUCAACAUUACACUGCCAAAUGUGAAAUGGAUUGAGAACCACAUGUCCUUAUUAUGCUGCCACUCCACAAAUGUUUAUUUUCCCCUCAUUCUCCUUAGAAGCCAGAGGCAGAGUCAGUCCUGCACCCCUUUACGUAUGCCUUCUCCAUAAAUUAACAUAAACGAUUAGUAUUAGAGCUGGCAAAAUGGGUCAUCGGGUCGUGUUUGUAUUGUGUCAGCUUCGUGUCGUGUCAAAUUUAGGUCGACCCAUACUCGACCCAUUUAAUAAUCGUGUCAAAAUAUUGAGACACAAACCCGACACGGAAAAAUAAUCAGGUUAUCCAAUAACCCGCUAUCUAUAUAUUAAACAAAAGUUACAUCAAAUAUUUACACAUUUUCAUACAUACGUAUGCGCAUACAUACAUACAUAAUUUAUUGAUAUUAUAAAAUAUACAUAUCUACUAAAAUAUUAGACACACUAUUGAGGUUUUAAUUAUAUAUGUGUAAAUAAUAUUAUAUAUCAAUAUUAUAAAAUAUAUAUGUCUACGAAUAUUUUAUACAUUUAUACUAGCUCUAAAUGUAUUUAAAAAUUCAUAAAUAAAAUAUUAUGUCUAUAUUCAUCCUUUUAAAGAAUUAAAAAAAAUCAUCUCUAAUAUUUGAGUUUUGGUGACAAGAAUUUACAAAUUAUUUUAAAAUAGAAAAUAUAAUCGGGUCAUUGAUCGGGUAAAUGGGUCAAGAAUUUUAACUCUAACCCGACACGAAAAAAAAUCGUGUUGACCCGGACCCGACCCAUUUAAUAAUCGUGUUAAAUUCAACGACUCAUACCCAUUUAUUAGUGUUGUGUUCGUAUUGGGUAAUCGGGCCGUGUCAAAUUUUGCCAUAUCUAAUUAGUAUAAGAUGAUUUAACCACACAAUAUGUCAAAUUUACAUUUUGCAAUCAUUGAUACUUGGUGCUACAGUCAAAUUUAUAUUUAUUCAAGGUAGCGGGUUCAAUAAUUAAAUUCACAUAAAAAGAAAGAUGCAUUCACCCUUAAUGGCCCAGGAGCCAACCAAAUUCCGCGUCCGCGAAGUGAGGCACUUUUCUUAAAGUUAUUUCACAGACGGAAGAACAAAAUUCUGUGAUCACGCACAAAGUGAUAGGGCAAUUAUUGAAACAUAAAUAAUGUCUAUUUCCCAUCCGAAAUCUGUUCUAAUAUAAAGGACAAGAAAAAGUUUUAAUUAUUAUUAUUAUUAUUUUUCACGUAGGGCAAGGCAAACAUCACUAUCUUGUUAAAUUAACAUUUAACAUUGUCCCACCAAAUAUAAUUAUAACCAAUUAAAUAAAUAUUUACUAUGAGUUCAGCAUCUGAGUUCCCACUCCAUAAAUAUGCCAGUAUUUUAAAACAAACAAGACUUAAGCGACAAAUACAAUUUUGUCACCGAGUGUAAAGGUCGCAUUUUAAGCCAAAGGAGAGCAGUUAAAAGGAAGAUAAAAUAUUACCGUAUUUCUCUCUCUUCUAUUAUUAGUUUGUUGUUAAUUAUAACCCUUUUCGGGAUUAAAAAAAGAAAAGAAAAAGGCCUUUGCGUUUUCUAUUAGCAUGUGUACAUGUUUAUUUUCUGUGUUAGUAGUGCAGAGUAUAUACUGAACACACUGGACAAAAAGGGUAAUUUGUAAUCAAUUUAGUUUUAUAAACAUUAAUCUCGGAAGUAGUUACUGAACUUCAUGUGGAAAAAAAAAUAAAAAAAGAUAGUCGCUGAGCAAUAAAUCUACAAGUCAUCAAAAUCGAGCAAUUCUAUGGCAAGAAUUCUUUCCAGUGGGAGGAUUCUAAAACCAAGAAUCCACUGCUGAAAUUUUAUUCACUGAAAAUAGGGAACGAUUGACACACCAGACAACAAGAACAAGAUGCAAUUAAAUCUAAUGAAAAUUAAAAAAAGAAAAAAGAAAUACAUAUUCAAACAUAUUAAUGAAAAUCAUCCCCAAGUACGACACCGGAAGAGAAAGCAUUUUGGGUGGCUUGAUCCUCCCAUUGUAGCUCUUCCCACCAUUCUUUCUCUCCCUCGAUGACAACUCGACGUUCCUUCACGCUGCUGGAAUUGACUGGGAGCUUCUUCAGCUGUGGGCAUCCACGUACUUGAAUUUUCUUCAGCUUUGGAAGGGGCAGGGGAUUCGGGUAAACGCUCUUUAAAUUUCUUCCCCACUUUAUGGUUAGAGAUUCGAGUUGUGCAAAAAAGUUAUGCUCUGACCCGAUUAUCUCCGAAAUAUCUCUCAAUUUAUCAACACUAAUUAUUUCUUCCAUUUCUGUACAAAAGACUAUACGCAGCUGCUUGAGAAUUUGAACAAAAACUAGCCACGUUAAGUCUUUCAUUUUUUUGCAACUGCUUAUGACAACUCUGUCGAGACUGCGGAAACCACUUUGAAAAAGCUUCUUCACCUCUUCUGUGCUGUCAAUCUUCAUCUCUUCCAAGUUAAUGUCUUCAAGAUCUAACUCCUGAAGAUUCUCCAUGUAUGCGAGAUGUAAGAGAUUGAACGGUGCACUUUUACAAUGGUAAACCAAUACAAAUUGAGUGAUGCUCACCAGCUUUGGAUAUUUCAAAAACUUUUGGACAGCAAGUGAACUUCCGAAGGACCAGCUUAAAACAUUUAAAUGCUUCAAACCCAGCAAUUCCUUCAUCAAAGGUUCAGCACCAUCACAUAGAACGUUACCUUCUUUCCCUUUUAUUACCGAAAGCGACCGCACCCACGCAACCUGAGUACCUCCAACUUUGAAAAGCCAGAUAUCAAUUCAUGUGGAAUUAUAGACAAAUGAAAUGCAUAGUCCAAGUUCAAAUAUCUCAGCUUCUCCAAUGCCUUCAGCUCUUGCGGCAACCCAGUUAUGUCAGUCGAUGAAAGAUCAAGAUGAUGUAAUGAAACCAAACUUGAAAUCCCUGAAGGUAGUUUACUUAGGGAAAGAUUUAUUCGUAGACUUAAUACUCUAAGAGAAGACAUCGAUUGAAAGAAGCCAUCAGUAAUCUCCUCAAUCCAAUUUCCAUCCAGAAGUAAAGUGACGAGACGUGGACACGUGGGAAUUUCCGAUAGGCUUUGAAUUCUAGUUUUCAUCAGAGAUAUCCGUUUGGCACCUUCCCAUUCUUCAACCUUUGGUGCUUCGGUCAGUUUAACUCCAGCGUGAACCAGAAAGUUCUGCUCCUCCUUGUCUACCGUGCACGCUAUCCAUAAUGACAUCUCACGAAUCAUAUCGUGCAUCUUUACAUGAUCAUCGCCUUCUUCCUCCAAUAAGCAUGCUUGAAGAAGGUCAUCAAUAAAAUCGCAUCCAUCAUCAAAAUCACACACAAAUCCUUCACUAAUCCAGUAAUCAAUCAAUUCCCUUCUAGGAAUUUCGUAGUCUUCAGGGUACAAACAACAAUACAGGAGACAGGAACGAAGUUCGUCCGUAGACAAACUAUCAUAGCUGAACUUUAAACGCGAAAACACCUCUUCUUUCAUACCUGAGCAUUUAGAAGCUGAUGUUCUCAUUUUGUGAAUUGCACGUUUCCAAUCUCCAACUUUCCUUUGGCUUUUCAUCGCUCGACCCACUGUUUUAAGCGCUAGCGGCAACCCACCACACUCUCUUGCCAAGGUUUCGGCUAGCUCUGGAAUACUGGUAUGACUGUCAAGAGUGGAUCUUUCGACCAUCUCCUGAAAUAAUUCCCAGGCUUUAUCAUGCGCCAAACUAUACACUUCCACCUUUUCAGCGUCCAUUUGAUCGCAAACACCAGCUGAACGAGUUGUCAAGACUACUUUGGACCCAUCAUUUAGUUUUUGAAGAGGGACACCCAAUUGUGUUAAAUCAAUGCGUUCCCAUAUAUCAUCCAAUAACAACACAAACUUCUUUCCGCUUAAAAUUCUAGCGAUGUCCGCAGCCUUGUCUCGAGGACUUUUUUUCUCCCACCUUUGGUCUUCUGAAAAGCCAAUCCUUUUUCCAAUGUCAUCUUGAAGUGUUGACGCAACCGCCCAGAUAACAACAUCAAAAUUAUGCUGUUGAUGGCAGAAGUUGUUGUUGACUUGUUUUAAAAGGGUAGUUUUGCCGGCUCCCCCUAUACCAUACAAGCCGAUAAUUCCCCUGUUCUUUUCCUGAUCAGUGAUACAUCUCCAAACUUGAUCAAGUAAUAGUUCUUGACCAACAACUGUGUGAUCAAGAGGUAAUUCAAUUGCUGCACCAUCUGGCGCCUUCUCAACAACGACUUCAAUUUUUUCUCCGUCUUUCUUUAAAUUGAUCACUCGAUCCGUCAACUCGACCACCUGAGUCCCGUAAUUGUAGCUUGAAACGAAGUUUUUGGAACAGAGGCCUCCAAGGCACAAUCUAUCCAUUUCUUGAGCUCUAACUCGUUCCAGCUCGGUAAAUUCAGUUUCCAGAUUUUGCACAUCUUCAAGCCACCCUGCGACCUGGUUCGUUCGUCUGGUUCGAGGUCGUUGUUCUUCGACCUCAACCUUGGUCUUCAGAUCGUCCCUUGCUCGAGUCAAUUUGUGCAAUUCAGUCUCCAAGACCCGAAGAUUUUUUUCGAGACCCCAUACAUAUUUUGCUUGUUCACCAACGCAGUUUGAAGUUCGAUCAAAUAAGUCUGCUGGUAAGAAGGUUGAGAUUAAGUUACCCAUUGUCGUUGACGAAAAGAGGAAGAGAAGCAAUGAGUACAAUGAAAAGAAUUAUGCUGCUUUGGAGAGGGUUAUAUUUGGAGAAGCACAAUACCGAAAUAAAAAUAUGAUACAUUUGUUGCUUUAUAAUUCAUAUGUCAAAUAUCGCGAACAUAAUGAUACGUUUACACGUCAUAUAAAAUUUGUAAUUCAUUUCAGUAAUGACAGAAUUAAUAUUAAAUCUUAUCAUUUAUUAUUUAAGUGAUAAAUUUAUAUUGAGAAUAUUUAUUUAGAAUAAAAAUUUUGUGCCUUUACUUUGGAUGAAGAUUCAAAAUAUUAAGUCAAUGAUAGCUAGAUAAAAAAAUAAAAUAAAAUAAAAUAAAUUUUAACAUAAAUUUUUUAUUUAAUAAAAAAUAAAUUCAAUAUAAAAUUCUAAUCCCUUAGAUUUACAAGUGCAAUCAUUGAUGAUGUAAAGAAUUAUUAUUUUUUUGGUUAAAAUACUAAGAUAUGGACAGUCAAUCAUUAGCCAUAUGGAUUCAAUUUCUUGAUCGACCAAAAACCUUGUUUCGACUGAAAUCUAUACGUGCAAGUGAACAUAAAUGAACAAGCUUUCAUCUGGAUUUACAGAGUGUGAAGUAAAUGGUGCGCGGUUGGAGGGGGGGGGAGCUUAAAUGGCAUGUUUUAUUCAAACGAUGCUGCAACUGCAGUUCUUAGUAGUUGGAUUCAGAAAACUAAGCUUCGAUAUCAUGACAUAACAAAAGAUGCAAUAAAAAUUGCACGGACAUAAUAGUUGUCAUGCUUCCAUAACAACGUUACCAAGUCGGUAAAAGCUAGGAAUAACAAAACACAUAAAAGUAGUUUCAUAUUAGAGAAUAUCUGAAUUUCCUGGUUGGUGGAGUUUCUUUGAUGAUCUUGUUCGAAAGCUAAUACCAUUCAACUCUAAAAUGUACCUCAAAGUAUCAAUCAUCUCAAUUAACUAGCCACAAAGUUUCCUUAGCUUGCCACAGUUCAGUUGUAGCAAACUACCAAAGCCCAUUUGACAAGCAGCCACUCUUUGUUCAUCUGUCAGCUGUGAAAGUGCCACCGCUAAUCUAUCUGGAGUCCAUCUGGUUAAGAACUUUGCCUUUGCGACUGCUGACUUCACUAUUCGUUCGCAUUGACUUUGUAUUGACAUUUUUUACCCGGCGGUAAAUUCUUAAACAUGGAUUCAAUUUCCGUCCAGUACACAAUCAUGGCAAAUAAACUAACUACGCCUUCACUACUUGAAAAUACAAAUUUAUUUUAUUUGUAACGCAAGUCAUUCCAUCGCUUGCCUUAACCUCACGCACGGCUUCACCGCUGCAAUAUCAUCAUAUGACUGCGAAAUUAUAUAUCUCUAUAAUUUUGUGAUGCAUAUGCAUUUUGCUUUUCAUGCCCUUGCAUUACUGAGCUGAUUUAUAUUCUCUGCUUGCAGUUUCAUUCACUAAUAUCCUUUAAUUGUUGUCAACGUCUUCUGGUCUAUAUUUGAUGAGCAUAGUAAAUACCUACUUUUGAUGCUCCAUAUACAAGUAUUAUCAGUCUGUUGCAAAUAGAUGUUUAUCACUAAUGUUGAAAUCGUAAAAUUUUAGACAUACUAGAACCUAAAAUCAAUGAUCCAAAGAGCCAUCGCCGUUUUUUGGAGCAGUUCUUGCAAUAGAUUCCCACUGUGGUUUUGAUUAAUUUGGUCAUGAUGCUUGUGUGCAGUGAUACUGGUAGGAAAGUUGAUGAUCCUGAGGUGCUUGAGGCAAUUCGUUUGACAGUUAUAAACAAUCUACUUCAGUAUCACCCAGUAAUCAUUUUUUUGUCUCUCUUGAGAUAUAACUUGGUGGAGCACCUGUAGGAAUUGUCUUAUUGAAAAGCUUAUUCCAUUUGUGUUGGUGUUGGAAUCAGGAAUCAAGUUCCCAGUUUGCAAUGGGUGUUGCCUUUGGCGUUGAUCCUCCAAAACAACAGGUUUUUGCUUUCUGGUCUUAUUUUGAUUUUUCAGAUUAUUGAUAUUUUUGGCUCUUCUCAGUAGUGGAUCAUUUGAAUAGGAAACUAAGUUGUUUUUAGAGUUCUCUUAGGCCAAAUAUUACUUCACUUUUAUCCUCAUUUUAUUUAAAGACAUUAUAUUCAAUUUGCCUGCCAUUGAAAUUAAUAUCAUGUUGUCAUGAAUGUUAAAAACUAUGCAUAUGAGUUAUUAUGGGAAGGAUAAUGUCCCACUUCAAUCUUGUCUCAAAUCUUGUUGUGCUGGAAUUUGUCAGGUUGAUGUGGACAUAGCAACCCACAUAAGCAUCUAUGAUGAUGGCCCCAACCGAAGGUAAUGCAUAAUUCAUUCUCUUAUCUAGAUGAUGGGGCUUUUGCUAUCCACCAAACUUUGGUCCCACACUAUUACUACUCAUACUCCAGCCCAAGUGGCAAUUUCCUGCCCAUAACUGAAGUAGUCAGAUAAUUUGGCCCUUACUAUUUUUGUUUAUUUUACCUUUUGUUUUAUUGAAGUUUGCUUUUGGUGGAGACGGCUGAUCGACCUGGAUUAUUGGUGGAUCUUGUAAAGAUUUUUACUGUCAUCAAUGUCAAUGUUGAAUCGGGAGAGUUUGAUACUGAGGUAGUGAGGUAAUCUUUUAUAACAAACUCUAUAUAUAUAUAUAUUGACAAAAGAGUGGCCUUCCCUUAUAAAUAUAUUUUGUUCUAAUUUUUGUUUUCGCACCCAGGAGUUGUUGGCUAAGGCAAAGUUUCAUGUCAGCUACAAGGGUGAAGCCAUUAUCAAGCCUCUCCAACAGGUAAAAACAACAGGCCUACAUAUAGGACAUCGGAAAUUGCUUUAUAGAUUGUUUGCUCUGAAGAAUAAAGAGACUUACCAUUUCUACUCAAAAUCGGUAUUCUAGUUGCAAAACUGUUCUUAUAUAAAAGAUUUGAAUUUAAACUUUGAAGUGGGCGGUAAGAACAUUAACGUGCUAAUGAUCACACGGUGCACCUGAAGGCUUGGACGAUCGUUGAUGUACUGAUUAGACUUUGCUUGAUCAAAUUUGCAGGUUCUUGCUAACAGUUUGCGAUAUUUCUUGAGGCGACCAACAACCGAGGAGGCAAGUUUUUGAGCUCUUGUUGAAGACUCCACCAACCAAAUUCAGGAUUACACACACUUGAUGAAUUUUUUUAUUUCUCUCCCCAGUAAACAUUCACAAGGGGAAUUACAAUAUGUUGUCUCCCUAAUCUCCUUACAUAAAAUAAAUAAAACAUGAGAUAUAUAUAAACGGACAACAUUUUAAUGAUAUAUCAUAUGGUAAACACUUAUAAAAUAGAAACCUUGCUAAUUUUAUCAUCCUCAUCAAUUCAUAGUCCUUUUUAAAUAAUUUUCAAGUUUAGGGAUAUGAUAUAGCUGUGUUGUAUUACUCAUAUUAAUCUUAAGCCUAAAGUUUGCAAUGGGUUGAUGAGCAUACAACCUUUUUCUAUUCAUGGAUUAAAAUAAUAAUAAUAUUAUUAUUAUUAGUUUUUUUUUUUUUUAUGUGAACCUUAGUUUACAUCCUAAAUUUUCCUAUAUCAACAUUUCAUUCCAGUACGCAAACAAGAUACAUCACUAUGGUUUCUUUAAUUUCAUUCUGUUUUCAUGCUUUGAAAAUUAGCGUCAUGACAUUGAUUCAGCAACUUUCACAAAACAGAAACAUAAAGGAGAUUUUUACCAUGUGGCUUUGGUGCAUUGGUCAUCAAAAUCUGCACAAUUAAUUAUAAAGAAUAUACGAUGUUUGCGCGUGCAAUUAUGAACGACUCAUCUUAUAUCAACUUAAGGGCAAAAUUAUUUUAAAAUCUCUUUGUAUAUAUGUUACAAUGUCAUUAAUUUUUUUUGUCAAUGGUCAUAGUUUAUUUAAUUGGCUACCAUUUUUAAGUUUCUUAUGACAGUUAACGGGUGAGGUAAAUCGAACACUUAAUUUUUUUAUAUUUAUAUCGUCAAUGGUGGAUUCAAGAAAAUAAUUUAUCGAUGACUAAAUUAUAUGACGACACGAUUCGAAAACUCAAAUUUUAUAGGUUUAAUAAAAACUAAAUUAAAUAAUAGUAAACCACCUAUAUGGGUUACCUCAUAACUUUUUAUAUUUUAAUUAAAGUGUGGUUUUUGUAAUUCUCAAAAUUAAAAUUUUAUAAAUUUUGAAUUUAUAAGACUAUUUUUAUAAAUUUAACUUGCCUAUUUUAAUAUAUUCAACAGAAUUAAUUAAUAACUCAAAUAUUUUUUUUAAUUAUUCUCUCUGUCCCACUAAUCAUGAGGUGAAUCCACCUCUAUAUCUCAUUUUAUAUUGUGUAAUCUCGUUAUGACUAAAAAGUACCUCCCUUAGAUUCAACUACUUAUCUAGGGAAAGUUUUUAAAAGCUGAGUCCACAAGCCAUGUCCCAUAACUUAGAUGACUGAAAAACAAAAACAAAACAAAAGGGAACAAAAGAAGGCCAUGCGGCCCAUGCUCUGCAAUGAGUGCUCCCUAAUGAUCAAGAAAGAGUAUUAUAAUUUAAUAUUUAUCCAAACAGAAAAUGACGUACACGGGAACAAUAAAUGAUCUCCCUAGAGAUGAGAGAAAUGGAUAACAAUAUUCUCUUAUUUAACUUCACUAUAUAAAGAGCUCUCUAUCAAAAUCAUAAUUCAAUUCAUUCCACCCACAUUGUUUGGAAAGAGAGAAAGUGAGAGAAAAAAGAAGGAAAAUAUGACAGGAUCAUUUGCUAGAGGAGCUCCCACCUUUAACUCCAUGUUUUUCAAGUAAUGUUUUCAUUAUCUAUCUACUUUGCUAUUUCAUCAUUUCAUUUUGACAAUCGCACUUCAUUAUUGCAUGGUAUGUUUGUAAAUAAAUGUUUUCACUUUAUCUAAAUUAAUUUUGUUAUGAAACAGUUCGUUCGAAAUAGGCCUAAUAGUUUCAAAUUAUUUAUUUACUAAUUAUGAGUGGUUGGUUAAGUACAUAGAAUUAAAUGUUUUAUUAACUGAACCAAUAUGUCUCCACAGGGGCCUCAGGUUAAAAAAAAUUAUCAAGAAAUAUGAAAGUCUUCAAUUAAAUUUGUCUCUGUGUCUGAUAAUUUUAUUUUGUAGCCCCCAUAUGUUUAUAUUCUUGUGGUAUAACCUACUUAAAAUUUGUUGUUUCUGUAUGAUUGAUGACAUCCAAAAUCCUGAUUUCGCCACUGUCCACGCAAUAAUAAAAAGAGAUUGCUUUCAUUCAUUUGAGUGUUUGAAUAUUUUACUCUUUGUUUUUGCAUUAUUAAUUUGUUGAGUCUUUUUGAAACAUAUAGGCCAAUGAUGAGGAAAUCCUUUCAAAAGAAAACAAGUUCUUAUGAUAUGAUGAGAGAAACAACAUUGAAAUCCAAUGCAGAAGAAGGAAAUGUGAUGAGGAGCCAACAGUUGAAUAAUAAUGUGGGAGAAAAUGAAGGGAAUUGUGGUUGGGUUCCUCAUGAAAGAACUGGGAUUUAUUACCCAAAAGGCCAUGAAAAAGUUAUUGACGAUGUUCCUCCUAGCGCUGGAAGAGAUUUUGAAGUUAAUUGGUUCUCAGAAACUCAUGGAUAAUUUAUGGAUAUGUUUUUUUUUUUUCAAAUUACUACACAUGCUUAAAGCGAAAAGGCUUUCUAUUGUCUCAAAGCAAAAUCCGAUUGUGAAAAAAAAAAUUAAAAUAAAAUAACAAUAAUGGAAAAUGAAAUCAUUUAGAUUCAGCUCAAUGCUAAGCAUUCCAAAAUUUAAGUUUCAAAAGAUAUGACAAUCAUUUAUUAGAUGGUGGUUAAAUAAUUUUACAAGUUAUGAAAUCUAUCGUCUAAUAAAUGAAUAACGUGUGACUUUUAAGACUUAAGAAGUUAAGACUAAAAAAUUAGGAUCUUAAUAUUAUUCUUACUUUUAUAUCAUCUUUUUAUUUAGGUCUAUUGUUUAUUGUCGUCUGAUUCUUCAAGCUAAAUGUACAAAACUACAAAUGGAUUAGGUGGGCCUCGCAUGGGCUUAAUUUUUUGUUAUGGCUCAUGAGUGGUCCUAUUGGUACCCCUAAAAAACCUUCUCAAACCCUUCUUUUAUAAUCAUGCAUUUGUCCCUAUUUAAAUUUACAAUGAUAAACAGAAGAAAUUAAAUUUUAUUCAAAUAACUAGUCUCCAUAAUUACAAUCAUGUGAAACCAAAACUCGACUUAACAAUUUAUUAUUUAUUUUGACGAUAUUUAGUUGACAUUCCUUGUUUAUCAAAGCACAAUGUAUUUUCUUAAAUUUUGAUAAAAUUUUAAUUAUUUUGUUAUUAUUAUUUAAGAUGAAACCUUAAAAUAUCAAUAACCAAUGUUGGAUGUUGUUAUAAGAAAUUCUAAUGAAAAUAUUAUGGAAAUAGCUUUUAAAAUUAUAAGUUCUAAUGGAGAUAAUGAUUAUUCGAAAGUUGAUGCCAUCAGAUUUGGGUUUCAAGCUCCCCAAGACGAAGAAAAUGUGAAAAUGGGGUUGGUGUGUAAACCAAGGGUGUUUUUGGAAUCAACUUAUGUGGGUUUAGAAAUCGAGUGAGGCUAUAUACACUCUAAAAAUUACACUAAACACCAUAAUUUUAUAAAAAAAUUUAUUUCAAUAAUAUUUAUGGUAUAAAUUAUUAUUAAGGACAUGACAAUUAUUAAUUUUUUUUGUAUGACUAUAAUUACUUCUUUUUCAGUUAUAUUAUGAUGAUAUUAAACAAGUUUACAUUGGUUGCUUGAUUUUUUCUUUUGGCCAAAAAAUACAUGUCAUUCCACAAUACCAGAGUAACAUGGACAAUUAUUCAGACUCUUACAAACUAGUCUGCAACUGAGGCAUUACAACCCAGCAAACAUUUUUGCGACAUAAAAAUGUUCAGACAAAUCCAGAUUAAAAAAAAAAGGGCUUAAUUUACCAUCCUCUUUUGACAAACUUUGAAUUUUCUGACAUUCAAUUGGAGGUGGAAGUGGCAUCAUAGUUGUACUGAAGAAGAUCGUCAUAAGGGUCCCAGGCACCUACUCUGAAUCAUUCUUUCUUGUCCCUCUCUUUCAAGUCCUCCAUCAACCUCAAAAUCAUAUUCUCAGCAAUUAAAAAUUUCAUCUUCACUUCUCUUCUUGAUUCUAAGCUCAGAACUAUGAAGCGCAAGCUGCGUCUUUUAUUUAGCUAAAUGAUAUAUUGGUUAAUUGAUUUAUUUGUUCGGAUUAUAAUGUUUAUUUCUCACGAUCUUUUCAUUGGUGAAAUUUUUUGAUGGAUUUUUUUAGUUGCUCCUUUAUCAUUCUUCAUUUAUUGGAGAAAUAUAUUAUACAACCAAAUAAUUAAAUUUUAAUGAUAAAAGAGUGUUUAGAGAAAUAUUUUGAAUAUGUAAGGCGUUUUCAUGAGUGUGUUAGAGUAAAUUAAUUUAAAAAGGAUUAAAUGAGUACAUUUUUGGUACUUUAAGGAAUGUACAAAAUAUAGUUCAUUUUUUUAAAUUAAUAAAUAAGUGUAUAUAGUAAUAAAACUUUGAGAAUAAUUUUUAGACUACAAAUAACUCUGCCCUUAGAAAUAAUAUUAUUUUUUGAAUGAUUUAGUGGGCAUAUUGAAUAAAGAUUUUUAUGAGGGCUUUCAAAGGUGCGAUAGUUCUACUCAUGACUCAUUUUUCUGCUAUUAGGAUUUACUCUUUGUUUCGUACUUUCAUUUGAGUGGAGCUCUCUCUGUCUCUCUCUCUCUCUCUUUGGAAAUGGAAAGCUUCAAUCAAUCACUUCAAGGAAAAAGACUUACAUGAGUUGAAAUUUCCUCCAGCCAAAUUACACGGCCCGAAUUGUUAACAUCAUAUUUAUCUAAUUUAUGAGCGGUCUCACUACUACUGCUCAGUAUAAGAUUGAUUUUGAAGUGGUCUUUCACAACCAUACAAUUUCGAAUCUCGAAAAUUAACCAUGAUAUUUCUUUCAUACUUCUUUCAAAACCUUUCGCCAAGUUUAAAAUAGUCUUCGAGUCUGAUUCAACAAUUAAUGGCAUUAAACCAAAGUCUAUUGCCAUUUUUAUUCUAAAAUUCAUAUCUUCAGCUUUAGCAUAUUCAACGUCCCCAUGAAAAUCUAUAUUCUGAAUUCCUACACUCCAAAAUCCUUAUAAAGCUUGUUUUAAUUUUUAUUUAUCAAAGUACCUUGGUUUAAUUUAUAAAAUACUAAUCCAUAAAUUAAAAUUAAUAAUCUUCUCAUUAAAUUUCACCUUAAAAAGAUUAUAAAUUAUUAAAAGUUUCUAAAAAUUAUAUAUAUAUAUAUAUAUAUAUAUAUGAAAUGAGGUGGGUGGAAAAAUGUUAAAAGAAUAAUUUUAUUUAAGUAUUAAUUAAAUUUUCAAUCAAAAUAAAAAUGGAAUUAAUUUAUCUUUAAUUAUUUAAAUAAUUUUAAUUAAAGAGUUAUAAGGAAUUUAAAGGAGGGUCUUAUAGGGGGUGUCAAAAGGCUGCGAUCUAAUGCUUCCGUUCAUCACAAUCUGCUACUGCGAUUGAUCGCGAUCUGCAGCCGUGGUCGCGCUCGUCCUGUCGCCGUUUGUCGUCGCGAUCUGUUACCUUCGGUGAAGAGGAGCACAAUGUUUGUUUUGGGAAUUAUAAUUUUAUAUUUUAAAUUAUUAAUUUCUUAUAUUGUUUGGCCACUGAUUGUACAUUAAAAUUAUAUAGAUUGGUGUUUGUAUUAUUUCAUUGUUUGCUUAUUUGUUAUUAAUGUUAUUAUUGUUUAUUAUUAUUAUUAUUAUUAUUAUUGUAGUAUUAGUAGUUGUUAUUUAAUUUCAUUAUUAUCAUUAAUUAUUACUAUUAUUUAUUUAUAAUGUUAUUAUUAAAUUUAUUAUUAUUAUCAUUAAUACCAAAGGACAACUAUUAUUAUUAUUAUUAUUAUUAUUAACAACUAAGGGCGUUUUAGUAACUUAAAACAACUUAACAUAUUCCGAUUCCGAUUCUUAGAUAAAGUAAACACAUCAAUGGGGUUUUAACUCAUUCCGAUUCCAAUUCCGAUUGCUACAGUUUAAGUAAACAACUUAUUUUGAUUCUCAUUCCUCAUUUUCAUUCCGAUUCUAACCCAUUCCGAUUACUGACAAGUAAACGCAUUAUAAAGGAAAGGAAAAAAAAUUAAUUAUUUUUUUUACCAAAUAUAAUUAUAACAAAUUAACUAAAUAUUUACUAAGAGUUCAGCAUCUGAGUUCCCAAUCCAUAAAUAUGCCAGCAUUUUAAAACAAACAAGACUUAAGCGACAAAUACAAUUUUGUCGACGAGUAUAAAGGUCGCAUUAUAAGCCAAAGGCGAGCAGUUAAGAGAAGAUAAAAUUUUACCGUAUUAAACUUGUAAUUGUGGAUGCCUGGCCUGGUGUUAAAAAGGAUUUAGAGCCACAAAAAGUUUUUGACCAAACCAAAAAGAAGUAGCAAAGCAAAAAAAGGAUAAUAGCAAAGCAAUAAAUCUACAAGUCAUCACAAUCAUGCAACUCUAUAGCAAGAAAAAAAGAAAAAGAAAAAGGAAAUACAUAUUCAAACAUAUUAAUAAUAAGGAUCCUCCCAAAGUACGGCACAGGAAAAGAAAGCAUUUUGGGUGGCUUGUUCCUCCCAUUGUAGCUCUUCCCACCAUUUUUUCGUUCCCUCGAUGACAACUCGACGUCCCUUCGCGCUGCUGGAAUUGAGUGGGAGCUUCUUCAGCUGUCGGCAAUGAAAUACUUGAAUUUUCUUCAGCUUUGGAAAGGGCAGGGGAUUCGGGUAAACGCUCUUUAAAUUUGUUCCCCGCCACAUGGUUAGAUAUUCGAGUCGUGCGAAAAAGUUAUGCUCUGACCUGAUUAUCUCUGAAAUAUCACUCAAUUUAUCAACACUGAUUAUUUCUUCCAUAGUAAAACCCUGCAUAUUUAGCUGCUCGAGGUUUUGAACAAAAACAAGCCACGUUAAGUCCUUCCCUCUGCAAGACCUUAGGACAACUGUGUUAAGACUGCGGAAACCAUUUCGAAAAAGUUUCUUUACCUCUUCUGUGCUGUCAAUCUUCAUCUCUUCCAACUUAGAGGAUUCAAGUUCUAACUCCUGAAGAUUCUCCAUGUAUGCCAGAUGUAAGACAUUGAACGGUGGCCUUGUAUACGUGCCACAUUCAACCCAUACAGAUUGAGUGAUGCUCACCAGCUUUGGAUAUUUCAAAAACUUUUGGACAGCAAGUGAACUUCGGAAGGACCAGCUUAAAACAUUUAAAUGCUUCAAACCCAGCAAUUCCUUCAUCAAAGGUUCAGCAUCAUCACAUAGAACGUUACCUUCUUCUUCUUCU